Molecule: ribosomal RNA, 346 nt
Filed under: uncultured bacterium
Lineage: Bacteria
Description: bacterial SSU rRNA
Rfam family: Bacterial small subunit ribosomal RNA
Source: RNAcentral
AGGCCCUUCGGGGUACACGAGCGGCGAACGGGUGAGUAACACGUGGGUAACCUGCCCUGUACUCUGGGAUAAGCCUUGGAAACGAGGUCUAAUACCGGAUACGACCACGGGAUGCAUGUCUUGUGGUGGAAAGUUCCGGCGGUAUGGGAUGGACCCGCGGCCUAUCAGCUUGUUGGUGGGGUAAUGGCCUACCAAGGCGACGACGGGUAGCCGGCCUGAGAGGGUGACCGGCCACACUGGGACUGAGACACGGCCCAGACUCCUACGGGAGGCAGCAGUGGGGAAUAUUGCACAAUGGGCGAAAGCCUGAUGCAGCGACGCCGCGUGAGGGAUGACGGCCUUCGGG